This 62-nucleotide transfer RNA is filed under the name Chryseobacterium sp. Leaf394. Its description in RNAcentral is "tRNA-Ser". It matches the Rfam family "tRNA", at positions 16 to 71 of the family's 71-position model. Rfam says of the family: Transfer RNA (tRNA) molecules are approximately 80 nucleotides in length. Their secondary structure includes four short double-helical elements and three loops (D, anti-codon, and T loops). The record is from RNAcentral. Lineage: Bacteria; Pseudomonadati; Bacteroidota; Flavobacteriia; Flavobacteriales; Weeksellaceae.
UGGUUCAGAGCAUCUGGUUUACACCCAGAGGGUCGGGGGUUCGAAUCCCUCAGGGCCCACAA